UCGAGACUUUCAGAGUGGAUGGUGCCUUCGGGACUCUGACACAGGUGCUGCAUGGCUGUCGUCAGCUCGUGUCGUGAGAUGUUGGGUUAAGUCCCGUAACGAGCGCAACCCUUGUCCUUAGUUACCAGCACGUUAAGGUGGGCACUCUAAGGAGACUGCCGGUGACAAACCGGAGGAAGGUGGGGAUGACGUCAAGUCAUCAUGCCCCUUACGGCCUGGGCUACACACGUGCUACAAUGGUCGGUACAAAGGGUUGCCAAGCCGCGAGGUGGAGCUAAUCCCAUAAAACCGAUCGUAGUCCGGAUCGCAGUCUGCAACUCGACUGCGUGAAGUCGGAAUCGCUAGUAAUCGUGAAUCAGAAUGUCGCGGUGAAUACGUUCCCGGGCCUUGUAACCCCCCG
Molecule: ribosomal RNA, 400 nt
Filed under: uncultured bacterium
Lineage: Bacteria
Description: bacterial SSU rRNA
Rfam family: Bacterial small subunit ribosomal RNA
Source: RNAcentral